Long non-coding RNA from Lolium rigidum, 311 nucleotides. RefSeq lists it as uncharacterized. The transcript is spliced from 3 exons. NCBI's taxonomy places the organism in Eukaryota, Viridiplantae, Streptophyta, Magnoliopsida, Poales, Poaceae. The record is from RefSeq and is a predicted model, not a curated record.
CCGAAACCACAUCUGCGCCGCCCAUCCCGGCGUCGUCCGCACGUCUCCAUCCUCUGCCUCGCGGCACGUCUGCAUGUUUUAACAUGCAAGCAGCAUCCUACUGCCGGAUUCAGAUCGUAGCUCGCCGGCCGGUCAACGUCGUCCAGGUCUCCAUCUUCGACCAGCUCAAUUUCUAUCGUGCCCGCACCUGAUCAACAUCUGCCUCGUAGAUCAUCUGUUGGGUCCCAUCCGUAAGUGUAUUGGGCUAUUUUUCCUCCGGUGAGAAAAGUAUCAGCAUCCAGUACCAGUCAGCUUCUUCUUUGGUCCCGCAG